This is a long non-coding RNA of Acanthochromis polyacanthus (spiny chromis), 1388 nucleotides long. RefSeq lists it as uncharacterized. The record is from RefSeq and is a predicted model, not a curated record. NCBI's taxonomy places the organism in Eukaryota, Metazoa, Chordata, Actinopteri, Pomacentridae. The transcript is spliced from 11 exons.
UGUGGUUCUGAUGGUGAACAGCUGGGUUCUAGAGGUUCUCCUGUGGUUCUAGCAGUGAACAGCUGGGUUCUAGAGGUUCUCCUGUGGUUCUGAUGGUGACCAGCUGGGUUCUGGAGGUUCUCCUGUGGUUCUGAUGGUGAACAGCUGGGUUCUGGAGGUUCUCCUGUGGUUCUAGUGGUGAACAGCUGGGUUGUGGAGGUUCUCCUGUGGUUCUGAUGGUGACCAGCUGGGUUCUGGAGGUUCUCCUGUGGUUCUGAUGGUGAACAGCUGGGUUGUGGAGGUUCUCCUGUGGUUCUAGUGGUGAACAGCUGGGUUGUGGAGGUUCUCCUGUGGUUCUGAUGGUGAACAGCUGGGUUCUGGAGGUUCUCCUGUGGUUCUGAUGGUGAACAGCUGGGUUCUAGAGGUUCUCCUGUGGUUCUAGUGGUGAACAGCUGGGUUCUGGAGGUUCUCCUGUGGUUCUAGUGGUGAACAGCUGGGUUCUGGAGGUUCUCCUGUGGUUCUGAUGGUGAACAGCUGGGUUCUGGAGGUUCUCCUGUGGUUCUGAUGGUGACCAGCUGGGUUGUGGAGGUUCUCCUGUGGUUCUGAUGGUGAACAGCUGGGUUCUGGAGGUUCUCCUGUGGUUCUGAUGGUGAACAGCUGGGUUGUGGAGGUUCUCCUGUGGUUCUAGUGGUGAACAGCUGGGUUCUGGAGGUUCUCCUGUGGUUCUGAUGGUGAACAGCUGGGUUGUGGAGGUUCUCCUGUGGUUCUGAUGGUGAACAGCUGGGUUGUGGAGGUUCUCCUGUGGUUCUGAUGGUGAACAGCUGGGUUCUAGAGGUUCUCCUGUGGUUCUAGUGGUGAACAGCUGGGUUCUGGAGGUUCUCCUGUGGUUCUAGUGGUGAACAGCUGGGUUCUGGAGGUUCUCCUGUGGUUCUGAUGGUGAACAGCUGGGUUCUGGAGGUUCUCCUGUGGUUCUGAUGGUGAACAGCUGGGUUCUGGAGGUUCUCCUGUGGUUCUGAUGGUGAACAGCUGGGUUCUGGAGGUUCUCCUGUGGUUCUGAUGGUGACCAGCUGGGUUCUGGAGGUUCUCCUGUGGUUCUAGUGGUGAACAGCUGGGCUCUGGAGGUUCUCCUGUGGUUCUGAUGGUGAACAGCUGGGUUCUAGAGGUUCUCCUGUGGUUCUAGUGGUGAACAGCUGGGUUCUGGAGGUUCUCCUGUGGUUCUGAUGGUGAACAGCUGGGUUCUGGAGGUUCUCCUGUGGUUCUGAUGGUGAACAGCUGGGUUCUGGAGGUUCUCCUGCUGGUUCUCCAGAGCUAGUUUCAUGAAUGUGCUCACAGACAGACUUCUGGACAACAAAGAGCAGCUGGAGGCGAGUAGAGAAAAUAUCUGAGAUUUAUUUUGUAUAAAAGCGGAG